UGAAAUCCUUGGAGAAGUGGCCGGCGGCCGCGC
RNAcentral lists this small RNA (33 nucleotides) under Bombyx mori (domestic silkworm). RNAcentral describes it as "ovarian small RNA-30583". The record is from RNAcentral. Lineage: Eukaryota; Metazoa; Arthropoda; Insecta; Lepidoptera; Bombycidae.